UAUGAAGAAACCAAUGAUCCACUUCCCAUCUGGGUUGCCCCAUGAAGACCACAGAGAGAAGAACAAGGAGGUUGUAGAGCCCCACUCUUAUGUUGUUGUGUGUGAUUUAUUAGUCAGACAAUCAUUGUUUUCUGCAGUCAAACUGGUCUGUAUAGGAUUUGAUUGAAUUUUAAUGAUCAUCUGUGGGGGGAAGCAUUACACCCACCAGUGUACAGCCUGCUGGAAAACAUUGAAGAAGAAGAAGAAGAGGGCCCCACCCUAAACGAACAGGUGACAGUGAUGCUUCACAGCAGGAUCAAGCUUUCUGACGACUGCAUUCCAAACACUUCCAGUCACCUCUUAUUUUUAGAAUAGCAUGGAGUUAUUUCCCUCUGCCUCUUUGCUGCUGCUGGCCCUGACUUAAUUGCCGUAAUAGGCUGCACGUUAUGAAGGCCAGUGAAGGCUGCCUGGUGUGGCCUUCAUGGACUGCUUCUUUCUGCAUCUGUGGAGAUGUCCUCAAACGGAGAAGCACCAGGUCAAGGCUAAACUAGAGAGAAGUCAAGAUGGGUCACGCCCAUUUCUUUUCUUUUUCCAUCCCCAAUGUCGGCUUCAACACUCUUCUUACCUUGAAACCCUUAUUCACGUACUCCCCACACCAUGUGAGGGAAGUCAUAGAAGCAUCCCCCCCUUUUCCUGGAAGAGGGUGUGAAGAUAUCCCAACGUUCAUAACCGUGGAGAGAUGCAGGGGUCUGGAGGAGAGGAAAAAAGGUACCAGCGUGAGGCAGACAGAUUCUAGCUCUCUGGUGUGCUUGCUGUUAUUGGUUCAGGAGUGAAAGGACCUGCAGAGUUAGUAUAUAUAACCUUCAAAGGCCAGGAACACGAAGCACUCAGAGACACUUAAUUCCCAAUCAGCAAAAGGUCAACACUAACACACAACGGGAGCUGCUGUAUUCCACAGAGCUAACUAACCACUGUCUGAGUGGCCACACUUUCUGUCCUUAAAACACAACAAAUCAUCAGUUGUGCUUUGUUUCCAUUUAGAAGUGCUGCAGUUGCACUCCAGGCAAUGUAAGAGAUGCUCAAGUGCAAGCUGAACACAGUUCCCUCAUAAACAGUAGAAUGUACCCAACAGACACUGGUCCGAACAGUGAUUUAUUUACUGAUCAAACAUGUUCAACUGGAAGGAUGGAAGAAAUUGUAUUUUUCCUCAGGAGUACCAAAUAUCAAAAUAACUUUUUGGAUACA
This is a non-coding RNA of Oryzias latipes (Japanese medaka), 1224 nucleotides long. Lineage: Eukaryota; Metazoa; Chordata; Actinopteri; Beloniformes; Adrianichthyidae. The record is from RefSeq and is a predicted model, not a curated record.